RNAcentral lists this ribosomal RNA (114 nucleotides) under Candidatus Physcosoma equi. Lineage: Bacteria; Pseudomonadati; Spirochaetota; Spirochaetia; Spirochaetales; Sphaerochaetaceae. The record is from RNAcentral.
UCUGGUGGCCAUAGCAGAGUGGAAAUACCCGUUCCCAUCCCGAACACGGCAGUAAAACGCUCUCACGCCGAUGGUACUGCAGCUUGUCUGCGGGAGAGUAGGUCGCUGCCAGAU